UUUGGCCCUUGAGGCAAGAUCAAAUUAACAUUAGAGCUGGCCCGCCGCUGUAACACCGCAUUCACUGCUAAUACUCUUACUUGCCAACCCUCCCGAUUUUCCCGGAAGACUCCCAAAGUACAGUGCCCCUCCCAAAUUUCAUCCCGGACAACAAUAUUGGGGGUGGGCCUUAAAGGCAUUGCCUUUGGCGAUCUCUACAACCCGUCGCCACGUCCACUUUUCCUCCAUACGAACAGCGUGCCGUCCCUGUCACAUAAUAUAUGCGGCUUAUACACUCACUCAAGUGAAUGCAAGGCAUACUUGGUCAACAGCCAUACGGGCCACACUGAGGGUGGCCGUAUAAACAACUUUAACACUGUUACAAAUAUGCGCCACACUGUGAACCCACACCAAACAAGAAUGACAAACACAUUUCGGGAGAACAUCCGCACCGUAACACAACAUAAACACAACAGAACAAAUACCCAGAACCCCUUGCAGCACUAACUCUUCCAAACUCACCAAACCCCGUCCACCUCAAUCCCGCCACCGAAAAGAGGCAUUCAAUUUUAUUUAAAUUUUGAUAUGCCAUUGAUAUUUUUUGAUUAUUAUUAUUAUUUGAAACUCGAUUGUGCAUGUCAGUAUAAAGUUAUAUAAGCCUUGCUUGUUCAAUAUUCAAUGCAAAACUUGUUUGGGUCCCUAUUAAAAGGUUCAUUUGUUCAACCUUGGCCCGCGGCUUUGUUCGGUUUUAAAUUUUGGCCCACUCUGUAUUUGAGUUUGACACCCCUGUUGUCGGGGCUCGACGAUGGCAGAAAGUUUUUGAUGACAAUUGUGUUCGGUAUUAUCAGUAAAGCGCAGCUUAGAAACCCAUGGUGUCGGUCGUGUUGCAUAAAUGACACACAACGCAGAGGAAAAGACCACCUUGCAUCCACAAAGCCUUCCAAUGCGGGGAUACCAAAACUGGUUCUUCUGGUUGAAAGUAACUCCGUCUUGAAGAAUAGUUAUCUUCCCCAAUUCCUAGGCUUACCUGUUUCUCCAUGCGCUCAGCCUUGGUGGACACGCACUCGUGACCUUUGUGCUGGUUGCUGGUGCACAGCCAGCAGACGAACACCUUGCACUGGCGACAGAAGAACUCCUGUAGGUACUUGUGCUGUGUGCAGAUCUUCUCGGCCAAGUUGCCUGUCGGUGCUAUCAGCUCGUGGUCCUUCAGGGCCUUGUUGGUCUGGUGUGCCUUGAGGUGAUUCUCACAGUAUGAGCUCAUGCACACCAAGCAGGUCUUGACCGCUGCCCUCUGUUCUCCUUUACACAGGUCGCACUGCACGGCCGAGGAGGGCAGAGUCUUUUUGGAUUUUAUUGCUCCUCGCAUGCUUUGAUGCACUUCAGACCUUGGGGUUCCUUUGCGGAGUUGCUCCACAGCUUCAGCCAACAUGGUAUUCCUGGAGAGGGAGGGUCGAGGACAGAAGGUCUGGCGGCACUGGGGGCAACUGUAUAUCCCCUUGGGUUCAUCCUUGCUCCAGUAGUCCAUGAUGCAACCCAUGCAGUAGCUGUGCCCACAGGGGAUGGUGACCGGAUCAUUGGGGAGAUCCAGACACACGGGGCAGUUAAACUGCUCUUCUGUCCACAGCUUACCACUCAUGAUGCCUCGAGCAAAUAGAAGAAUACCAACUGAAGACAGAAGAUCCAGUGCCUUGAUGUGCUGGCAGUCACAAGGGGGAAAUGAAAAGUCACGUUGAGAGAGCAGGGCGGGGCUUUAGUCGCCUGGCAGGUUUAGCGGGUAAAAACGGGUGUCGAUGGAAAAAACUACUCAAGGAAGGAGUGUAUCCUUUUAUUGUGUCUGUGAAAUAGAAAUUCCUGUUUUAAGAUCCAUGAAGCUUUUGGAGUAUUUGUUAAAGGCCUACUGAAAUGAGAUAUUCCUAUUUAAACGGGGAUAGCAGGUCCAUUCUAUGUGUCAUACUUGAACAUUUCGCGAUAUUGCCAUAUUUUUGCUGAAAGGAUUUAGUAGAAAGUGAGCAACUACAUAAUAUGUAUCAUGUAGGACAAUGUCUAAAGAAGAGUUUGCUAAAAUAAUUCCUGUUAAACGAUUUGGAAAUUGAUUGAUCCCAUUAAUAAUUGGUGCUCCCGAUAUGGCAUUUCCACGUAUAAACAACAUAAGCUUCUGACUUUUACCACCAGCCUUCCUUCUUCUAUUAGCAUCGACGAUAAAGUUUGCAAUUUUUGGUCGCUAAUAAAAAAGCCUUGCCUGUACCGGAAGUAGCAGACGAUGACGUCACCAAUGUGGGGGCUCCUCACAUCCUCACAUUGUUUAUAAUGGGAGCCUCCAACAAAAAGAGCUAUUCGGACCGAGAAAACAACAGUUUCCCCAUUAAUUUGGGCGAGGAUGAAAGAUUCGUGGCUGAGGAUAUUGAUAGCGAAGGACUAGAAAAAAAAAAGGCGAUUGCAUUGUGAGCGUAUCAGAUGUUUUUAGACACAUUUACUAGGAUCAUUCUGGGAAAUCCCUUAUCUUUCUAUUGUGUUGCUAGUGUUUUAGUGAGAUUAUAUAGUACCUGAUAGUCGGAUGGGUGUGUCCACAGGUGUCUUGAGGCCAGUCUUUGAGGGAAUUAGUCACGGCAGCAGCAGCUUGACAGAAGUUCCUUUGAUCUCCGGUGGUUCUACUCGGUCUCCUCAGUCGCAUUCUGAUGACAACAUCAAAGCAACUAAGUGUUCAGUAUCUUGCUCAAUGGUGACUGACCUUCAGGUUGGGGAAUGACCGCUCCACUCGGGCCACGAGAUCAUGGCAACCAGGCACUUCAGAGGCUGUCGUGCACUGCAGGUGUUUGCUAGUUCCACUGGACUGAAUGACCUCAUGGAUACAAUAAUACUUUGUCUCAGCUGGUAGGAGGCCGCGGGGAAGACCCAGGACACGUUGGGAAGACUAUGUCUCCCGGCUGGCCUGGGAACGCCUCGGGAUCCCCCGGGAAGAGCUAGACGAAGUGGCUGGAGAGAGGGAAGUCUGGGCUUCCCUGCUUAGGCUGCUGCCCCCGCGACCCGACCUUGGAUAAGCGGAAGAUGAUGGAUGGAUGGAUGGAUGGAUGGAUAUCCCUUAUGUAAUCACAAUUGAAAUCUUUUUGUUGGGGUUUUUUAUGCACACUCUCAGGCAAAUCUACUUGUUGCCAAUCAUUUUUCAGUCUUAGAAAAAAUCACUAGCCUGCUGUCAGCCCUAGCCUGUUAUUCUAGUACAGUAUUACUAAAGACCAACAUGGGGCCACAAACAAAUCUUGUUUGGAGCCACAACAAGCCUCCUUUUAUCUGGUCACAUCCACUAUUGAUAAUGAAUUCUAAGGGCCUGAUUUAUGAAAGGUUUAAGUGCACUAAAACACGUGCAAACCUGAUACCACAUGCAGAGCUAAUCUACUAAACAUGUGCAAAGAAGAUUGCAUCUCUUAAGUGAGCUGAAUAAGGUGAGGCAUCCAUUUUGCCUCAGUCUUCAUCUAAACAGCCAUAAUAUUGGGAGGACAAAUUGCAUAUAGUGUUAUAUAGCACAUGCAAUGUGAUUCAUCAACUUUUAUCACUGUUUUGCGAGCAUUAUCUGGCAUUUUAUUUAGCACUUGUCUUAUGGGGCUGAAUAAAAUGUAUUCAAUUGA
This is a long non-coding RNA of Nerophis ophidion (straightnose pipefish), 3599 nucleotides long. RefSeq lists it as uncharacterized. The transcript has 4 exons. NCBI's taxonomy places the organism in Eukaryota, Metazoa, Chordata, Actinopteri, Syngnathiformes, Syngnathidae. The record is from RefSeq and is a predicted model, not a curated record.